CCUACGGGUGGCAGCAGUGAGGAAUAUUGGUCCAUGGGCGCGAGCCUGAACCAGCCAAGUAGCGUGAAGGAUGACUGCCCUACGGGUUGUACACUUCUUUUGUAAAGGAAUAAAGUGAGGCACUUGUGCCUUUUUGUAUGUACUUUAUGAAUAAGGAUCGGCUAACUCCGUGCCAGCAGCCGCGGUAAUACGGAGGAUCCGAGCGUUCUCCGGAUUUAUUGGGUUUAAAGGGAGCGUAGAUGGGUUGUUAAGUCAGUUGUGAAAGUUUGCGGCUCAACCGUAAAAUUGCAAUUGAUACUGGCAGACUUGAGUACAGGUGAGGUAGGCGGAAUUCGUGGUGUAGCGGUGAAAUGCUUAGAUAUCACGAAGAACUCCGAUUGCGAAGGCAGCUUACUAAACUGCCACUGACGUUGAUGCUCGAAAGUGUGGGUAUCAAACAGGAUUAGAUACCCUAGUAGUC
Molecule: ribosomal RNA, 460 nt
Filed under: uncultured bacterium
Lineage: Bacteria
Description: partial 16S ribosomal RNA
Rfam family: Bacterial small subunit ribosomal RNA
Source: RNAcentral